AGCGAACGUUAGCGGCGGGCCUAACACAUGCAAGUCGAACGAGAAUGAGGGGGCAACUCCUCUAGUAAAGUGGCGGACGGGUGCGUAACACGCUGGUAAUCUACCUCCCGGCGGGGACAACAGUCCGAAAGGAUUGCUAAUACCGCAUAAGUCGACGAGGUCUCCGGAUCUUGUCGGGAAAGACGGCCUCUCCUUGGAAGCUGUCACCGGAAGAUGAACCUGCGGCCCAUCAGCUAGNGGUGAGGUAACGGCUCACCAAGGCAAAGACGGGUAGCUGGUCUGAGAGGAUGAUCAGCCACACUGGGACUGCGACACGGCCCAGACUCCUACGGGAGGCAGCAGUGGGGAAUAUUGGGCAAUGGGCGAAAGCCUGACCCAGCCACGCCGC
Molecule: ribosomal RNA, 388 nt
Filed under: uncultured bacterium
Lineage: Bacteria
Description: bacterial SSU rRNA
Rfam family: Bacterial small subunit ribosomal RNA
Source: RNAcentral